CUUGCCCAUAUUUGUGGGAUCUCAGAAUAUCUUUUGCAAUCAAAAUGUUUGAAGCUAAGGAAUCAAGAUGCCGAGAGAUUGCAGAGAUGUGUUAAGUUUUCUACUGAUACUGUUGUUGCGAAUAUAUUUCCUUUGGAUUGGAGGAAUUCAUUGAGUGAGAAUAUGAUUGCUCUUAGAAGAACUGAUGCUUUAAAGAAUGCGCUGAAACAAGUAAUAGUCGAGUAUACCAGCUCAAAGAAGGUGCUGUCUUUUGGGCAGAUUGGAAGGCUUGCAAUGGUUAUUCUCGGGUCCGGUAAGCUGAAUAAUAGUGAACUAUACGAGAAGCUUGUGAUAAAACUGGACUUCCACCAGCCAUGGAAGGCUUUCAUUGAGAAUCUAUGUGGGAAUAUUGGCCCUGGAAACACCAGUGAAGAACCGAGAGAGGUGUCUAUAAUGUUGAAGUUGUAUGGAGCUUUAGUUGAUAUUUAUAAUGCGAACUGGAGGGCGGUUCGUGAUUACAUAUCACCUGGUUGCUUUUUGUACCUUGUAGAGCGCCUUCUGAUUUGGGCAACUUGCUUUCAGGGUUAUGCUAUCACUACAAGUUCUUGCUUUGUUGAGUGGCUCAUAUACCAAGAGGAAGAUACCAACUUGAGUUCCAUGGUUGGUGUUGGUGAUGCGCUACCAUCUUUAAUUGACAUCAGUCGUUUUGUGAUUUAUGUGGUUCGGGAGUGUGUUUUUAAUAAGGCGGAUAUGGUUGAAUGGAUUAAAAAGACCAACGCAGAUUGGAACAACUAUCAUUCUCAACUCAUGUUGCGAUUUGUUGUCGUGUUAUGCUUGGUUUAUUUAAAUUUUGGCAUGGGUCUAGAUGAACUCUAUGAUUUGCUGGGAAGGGACUAUAUCACUGAGCAGCUGCCGUGGGAAUUUUUUGACGCCCUUAAGAGACGGAGGAGACACAAAACUCUUAAUAUAAAUGUGAAGCUGCUAGCUGCAGCUUUUCAGAAGAUUGGUAAUACUUUGGUAAUUGCAAGUUUCGGGUCAGAUUGUUCAAGGUUCUUAUGUUCAGAUGUCAUCUUUGUUGACAUGAAGGCCAACCAUUCCAGGGAUUACAUACUGAGAAAAUUGAUUCCUAAACAACCACCUGUCCUACAAGUUUCCCAAGCUACAUCUGUUGAAGCAGCAGGCGAUAAUUCAUGUCAUCUUAGUUGACAUCCAACUCUGGUGCGGUGGAACCUUCAGAGACUGGUGCUGCAUCUGAUUAGACGAGUGAUGAUGUGGCCGGUGGCAGAGACAACCACAAUACAGGUGAGGAAAGUUGCAUAUCCAAAGAGUCAAUUCCAAAGUCUAAGCAAGCAGAGGAUGUGGCUUCUGGAUCCCAAUGUGGCAGUAAUGAAACUGGAAACAAGGGGAAGAAAAAGGGCAAGAACAAGAAACCCAAGAAGAAAGGAGGCAAAAAGUUGCCAUCACAUUUUAAUAUAUUAUAAUUAUAUAUUUGCUACGUGAAUGAAUCUUGUUAUGUAUGAACUUGAUGUUGUGAUGUCAUGUUAUGUUAGUGAUGAUUCCUGGAUUAUGCAUGGGCUUAAUGCAGAGCCAGGUACGAAUCACACUUAAGGAUCUUCAGGUCUUGAUAUAGUUGUAUAAUGAGAAUCAAGGAAUUUCUGGU
Molecule: long non-coding RNA, 1639 nt
Filed under: Prunus dulcis (almond)
Lineage: Eukaryota; Viridiplantae; Streptophyta; Magnoliopsida; Rosales; Rosaceae
Description: sRNA ncRNA
Source: RNAcentral